This 460-nucleotide ribosomal RNA is filed under the name uncultured bacterium. Its description in RNAcentral is "partial 16S ribosomal RNA". It matches the Rfam family "Bacterial small subunit ribosomal RNA", at positions 338 to 795 of the family's 1533-position model. The record is from RNAcentral.
CCUACGGGAGGCAGCAGUGAGGAAUAUUGGUCAAUGGACGAGAGUCUGAACCAGCCAAGUAGCGUGAAGGAUGACUGCCCUAUGGGUUGUAAACUUCUUUUAUAUGGGAAUAAAACGUUCCACGUGUGGGAUUUUGUAUGUACCAUAUGAAUAAGGAUCGGCUAACUCCGUGCCAGCAGCCGCGGUAAUACGGAGGAUCCGAGCGUUAUCCGGAUUUAUUGGGUUUAAAGGGAGCGUAGGUGGAUUGUUAAGUCAGUUGUGAAAGUUUGCGGCUCAACCGUAAAAUUGCAGUUGAAACUGGCAGUCUUGAGUACAGGAGAGGUGGGCGGAAUUCGUGGUGUAGCGGUGAAAUGCUUAGAUAUCGCGAAGAACUCCGAUUGCGAAGGCAGUUCACUGGACUGCAACUGACACUGAGGCUCGAAAGUGUGGGUAUCAAACAGGAUUAGAUACCCCGGUAGUC